Macrosteles quadrilineatus (aster leafhopper) is the source of this 1004-nucleotide long non-coding RNA. RefSeq lists it as uncharacterized. Lineage: Eukaryota; Metazoa; Arthropoda; Insecta; Hemiptera; Cicadellidae. The transcript has 4 exons. The record is from RefSeq and is a predicted model, not a curated record.
CACGAACUUACGACGACGCGACGGACGAAACUCUCAGGGAGUCAGGACCUAGGAGGGUCAGGACUCAGGGCUGGCUAGAGAGCUAACAGCUAACCUCAAAAUGUUAUUUUGGUUUGGUCGUUUAUAGGCUACUCGUUUGGUGUUAUUAUUGAAUUAGGAUCUAGGAGUACUGUUCGUGCGUGUAUUUAUCUAAGUAAAAUACUAACUGUAUACUAUAUUAAAUUUGUUUCACAUCCAGUUUAGUUAAAGAAGGGGCAAUAGAUUUGAAGAGGAAAAGGAACUUCAAUUCAUGUCGCAAGAAUAAUAAUUAACCUAAUCUGUCAAAUAUUAAAGAAACGUUAAACAAAAGUUAAUUAAAUUAUACAUCACUUUUAUUUAUAAGCUAAUGCAAUAUUUAUUAUUUAAAAACAACAUGAAACAUUAAAGCCACUUUAUCCUAAAGUCAAGACAAAAAAAGGAAAAUGCCUUAACAUUUGAUGUCAUAAGAAGAUUGCGGAUAAUGAUUCAAUAAUUUUUAAACCUGGAAUGUAGCAUUUCUAUUGAAAACUGUUCAUGGAGGGAAGCAAUAAUCAGGAGGAAUUAGAACUCGAGGUAAAAAACUGCCCAAAAGCUAUUCCUAAAAAAAGAACAAAUAGUCAAACUGAAAAAUCAUCUAAAAAGAUCAAAUUUGAACAGAAUAAAAGUGAUUCCACAACUAUGGAAGCAGGUGAUGACUCUGUGACCCCCCCUGAAAAUCUGAUUUUGGAAAAAAUCCUUUUUGAGAAACAAAAGGAAUUCUUUGGCUCACCAGAAGUGAUGGAAACAAUCAAGUUCCUGAUUAAUCGGAAAAGAAAAGAGUGUUGUUUAGACCAGUGAGGAAAUGCAGGAUUGACUACAUUUUACUUUCACUCAACAAUCACCCAGUUUCAGCAAAACAUCCAAUAAGCAGAGAUAAGUUGUGCUGCAUAAAAACACCAUAAUGAUUUUUAGUUUUUAAUUUAUUAAAAUGAUAUAACAAAGAUAAA